AUUAAGUACAGUCGUAAGUUUCCGCGUCCAACUUUAAUGAUCUGUCUUAUUUAAAAAAAAAUUUAUAUUUAGUAUUUUUGUUGCUAUGAGAUGAUAAAAUAUGAAUAGUACUUUAUUUGUGACUUAUAAUUUUAAUUAUUUUUAAAAGUUUUUCAAAUAAGAUGAACAGUCAAAGUUGGACGCUGAAAACCAUGGCUGCACUUAGA
Oryza rufipogon (brownbeard rice) is the source of this 206-nucleotide microRNA precursor. It matches the Rfam family "MIR812 microRNA precursor family". The record is from Rfam. Lineage: Eukaryota; Viridiplantae; Streptophyta; Magnoliopsida; Poales; Poaceae.